GGAGUUAGCCGGUGCUUCUUCUGUGAGUGAUGUCCUUCCUGCCGGCUAUUAACCCGCAGGCCUUCUUCCUCACUGAAAGUGCUUUACAACCCGAAGGCCUUCUUCACACACGCGGCAUGGCUGGAUCAGGGUUGCCCCCAUUGUCCAAUAUUCCCCACUGCUGCCUCCCGUAGGAGUCUGGGCCGUGUCUCAGUCCCAGUGUGGCUGAUCAUCCUCUCAGACCAGCUACGGAUCGUCGCCUUGGUGAGCCGUUACCUCACCAACCAGCUAAUCCGACAUAGGCUCAUCCGAUAGCGCGAGGCCCGAAGGUCCCCCGCUUUCCCCCGUAGGGCGUAUGCGGUAUUAUCCUGGGUUUCCCCAGGUUAUCCCCCACUACCGGGCAGAUUCCUAUGCAUUACUCACCCGUCCGCCGCUCGCCACCAGGGAGCAAGCUCCCCGUGCUGCCGCUCGACUUGCAUGUGUUAGGCCUGCCGCCAGCGUUCAAUCUGAGCCAGGAUCAAACUCUGA
RNAcentral lists this ribosomal RNA (507 nucleotides) under uncultured bacterium. Its description in RNAcentral is "partial 16S ribosomal RNA". The record is from RNAcentral.